RNAcentral lists this ribosomal RNA (273 nucleotides) under uncultured bacterium. RNAcentral's name for it is "partial 16S ribosomal RNA". It matches the Rfam family "Bacterial small subunit ribosomal RNA", at positions 524 to 796 of the family's 1533-position model. The record is from RNAcentral.
GACGGAGGAUGCAAGUGUUAUCCGGAAUCACUGGGCGUAAAGCGUCUGUAGGUGGUUUAAAAAGUCCACUGUUAAAAAUUGAAGCUUAACUUCAAAGAUGCCGUGGAAACUUUUAAACUGGAGUAUGGUAGGGGUAGAGGGAAUUUCCAGUGGAGCGGUGAAAUGCGUAGAUAUUGGAAAGACCACCAAUGGCGAAGGCACUCUACUGGGCCAUGACUGACACUGAGAGACGAAAGCUAGGGGAGCAAAUGGGAUUAGAAACCCCAGUAGUCC